Penaeus monodon (black tiger shrimp) is the source of this 88-nucleotide non-coding RNA. The record is from the annotation of a RefSeq genome assembly. NCBI's taxonomy places the organism in Eukaryota, Metazoa, Arthropoda, Malacostraca, Decapoda, Penaeidae.
GUCAGGAUGGCCGAGCGGUCCAAGGCGCUUGCGUUCAGGUCGAAGAGUCCGUUCUGACGGGCGUGGGUUCGAAUUCCCACUCCUGACA